RNAcentral lists this ribosomal RNA (518 nucleotides) under uncultured fungus. RNAcentral describes it as "SSU rRNA". It matches the Rfam family "Eukaryotic small subunit ribosomal RNA", at positions 214 to 732 of the family's 1831-position model. The record is from RNAcentral. Lineage: Eukaryota; Fungi.
AUUAAAAACCAAUGCCCUUCGGGGCUCACUGGUGAUUCAUAAUAACUUCUCGAAUCGCACGGCCUUGCGCCGGCGAUGGUUCAUUCAAAUUUCUGCCCUAUCAACUUUCGACGGCUGGGUCUUGGCCAGCCGUGGUGACAACGGGUAACGGAGGGUUAGGGCUCGACCCCGGAGAAGGAGCCUGAGAAACGGCUACUACAUCCAAGGAAGGCAGCAGGCGCGCAAAUUACCCAAUCCCGACACGGGGAGGUAGUGACAAUAAAUACUGAUACAGGGCUCUUUCGGGUCUUGUAAUUGGAAUGAGUACAAUUUAAAUCCCUUAACGAGGAACAAUUGGAGGGCAAGUCUGGUGCCAGCAGCCGCGGUAAUUCCAGCUCCAAUAGCGUAUAUUAAAGUUGUUGAGGUUAAAAAGCUCGUAGUUGAACCUUGGGCCUAGCCGGCCGGUCCGCCUCACCGCGUGCACUGGCUCGGCUGGGUCUUUCCUUCUGGAGAACCGCAUGCCCUUCACUGGGUGUGCC